UUUAAACUUUUAUUUACAUAUUUAUAACUGGAUGCAAUGACAGUAGAAAGUAACAAUGAACCAGUAAAAAAUAGAGAAAUAGAGGGAAUUACAUGGAUAGGUUAUAUUUAAUUUGAGCAUUACCUAUAAAUUUAAAGAUUAUGCUAAAAAUUAAUUGGUAUUCAGAAUGAGUUUUAUGCAUCCAGGAUGGCCAGAAAGACACAUCUCAUUUUUCAAUGCUGUGUGACAGACUUUUCAGCAACUAGCUACAAAAGGAACAGACUUUCUGAUAUUUAGCUGGUUUUCCAUAGCACAUUUAUCCUACACUUAUGCAAAUAUGAAGUACCUCAUGUUCUUGGGCAGCUCAGCACUGAAUUUUCAGAUCCUGAGUCAAAUGACUCUCAACACCUGACAGCAAACUUGACAGCAAUGUUCCAUGUCAGGAGUCACACUCUAACACCCUUUAUUCAAGGUUAUGGCCUGAUCCCAAACUCUUUCCACACCAGUAUUAUGAAAAUAACUUUCACAUUCGGAAGCUUUACAGACUGAAAACACACUCAAAUCCCAGUUUUUAUGAUCACAAGAAUGCCUAUCAGUAUCCCCAAACACCAAGGACACUAUUGUCAUGAAUCAGAUGUAAUCAUUAUCACAAUGGGUUUUUUUAAUCCCCUGCAUCUCCCAGAUUUAUUCUGCAUUACAUGAACACCAUAGAGGUGGAUUCUACACACAAAAACCUGUGUAAGCAGGAGAACUUUCCUUCAAAUACAAACAAAUUAAAUUUUCCAUCAAAUGGAAUUAGCCUCUUAUGGAAUCACUCCAGAAAUCUUAACUGAACACUAAAGCCCUUCAGUCUAACUGGGUUACACAACACUUCUUCUGGUAUAAAGUCCAGCAUCCAGCCUGAUGGUUUCAAGGAACCAAUGUAACAGCAGAAAUGUAAAAAGAAAAAAUUUAUGGAUCUCUGAAGUCAGCCAUUAAAUCCAACCCUUCAGCAGGCAAAACUCUCUCCUUAUGAGUCUUAUGGACUUGGCACUUAAGAUUACUAUAAAAAUGCUUAGGGAAUUCUUUAAACAAAUGCCAGCACACUGUUAAGUAUCAGAGUAUAUUUGAAAUCAGAUUUGGUGCUGCUGUGAUUCCAUGAAUUCUAAUGGAACUCCUCCAAAUUAUUUCACCACUGCAAGUGAACCUGAAAUAUCUCAUUUUGCAUUAUUUUUAGCUGAAAUGUAUGUCAAUGUGAAAUCAUUUGAACUACAUUAGUAGAACUAAAAUGAUCCCCAGUGUAAAUCCAUUCACAUCAGGAAUGCAUUUCACCACUAUAAUUUAAAAAUGUAAAAUGCCCAGGUCACAAUAAAAUUAUUUUUCUGAGAGUUGUCAGCAUCCCUGGGAAAUGUCUGACAGAAGAAGGGGCAGUAAUUUGGAGCCAUAACAGUUCAGCUAGAGGGUUUCUCUGGCACAAAAUUUCAACCAAAGUAAUACCUAACACAAACUUCUAUUUACUGUAAAGCACUUGGGAUCUUUGGGUUUUAGCGUGAUAAAACUAUAUUGUGACUGGACCAAUGGAUAGCUGAAUAAUCAAAUUAUAAACCCAAGCAGAGCUAUUUGCUUCCACUCUGGGAUGCACAAUUCUUUCUGUGAUUCAGAAUGCUGACAGCACAACCUAGCACUGAGCUCUAAAGUCCUUAUUUAUCAUGACCAAGGGUUUAUUCACUGCAGGAAGCUCCACCAUUACCUGAGGACAGACCCAGAACAUUGCUCUGCCAACUGCUAGGAGCCCCUACAGUCAGACCUUUUCCUUCUGCUCUCACAGCAGACCAGCACAUACACUGCAUGCUUGUUUUAAAUUAACAACUCAGUGUUUGAAGAAGAUUUUUUUUGGAAACAUUCAUGUAUCAAAGAAACAGAGCAAAAAAAAAAAAAACUCUAAAUCAGUUUGAUAUUAAUAGCAAUCACUAUUCUUUUGUGUUGCCUAUAGAAGAUGAAACCAGCAGAGACUGUAAUGAACAGAACUUUCAAUGAAACUGAUGAUGUAACAAACUGCAUCUUCUUACACUCCUGAACAGGGGCUUGUCAGCAUCUCAUCUCAGCUGUUUAUCAAAGCACUCCCCUCAUGCUGAGCUCCGUGGCUACAGCAUGAAUGCUCUUUAAAAGUGAUUCAAAGAGUUUUCUCAUUUCCAUUAGAGGUCUGGAAUCCCACCUCUUAGGAUCCACCUCCCCUCUCAACCACUCAAUACUGCAAACAGGUAGUACUUAUUUUCUCUAAGUUCUUUAUUUACCUGGUCAGUGUUUCUUUCACUCCUCAUUGCCAUGGUCCCAGGCACUAAAUGGUCUCUGGUGUCAGACAAAACUAGUACCAAGGCAUUCAGCAAGAGAGCCCUCAUGCCCUUUAGACCAUUAACUGCUAUCUCUGAAAGAAGUACAUGCAGUUGCAGCUUUUUGCUGGGUUUUAUAGAGCACUCAUCCUCACUGCUGAUACUGCUCCCCCCCAUAGAAACAGAGGAUUCAGCACAUUUAACUCAGGUGAGCUGGAGUGAAAUGUAACAUUAUGUUUUGGCAAAUGCCUAUGUAUAAAAUGACUGAGUCACUUCGUUCAAAGCACAGUCGGAAUUGACACCACAAUAAAAAGGAGCUCUUUUUAAUACUUCACAUCAAAAAUAUAGUGAAGCCUGCUCAGUGUUUUAAAAUUAGGAAUCAGACACUUAAACACACAUUUUGAAGCAGGGCUCAGCACAACGCAGUCUUUUGUGUGUUGUCUUUUUUUUUUAUUUUUCUGCAAUGCAAAAGAAGACAAGCAGAGAAACUUUUCGAAGAGACUCACAGAAAAACUAUGAAGGUAAACCCCAGCCAUUAAAGACAAGCCUGUGUCUGCAGCUCUGUUUGGUGCCACUGGAUUCAGCAAAAAAGGCUGAUCUGAUGGAUCAUGUGUAAUACCAUGGAUGCCCAAUUCAGAGUGCUUCUGUUGUUGCUGUAAGUCAGUCACCAACAAGUUCUCUCCCCUGCAAAAAGCCCCUCACUCAGCUUUAAAUGAACAUUGCAAACUACUGUAAUUUAAUGGUGUUAUUAAGAUCCCUUUUUCUUCCAAAACAGCCUGUCCCAGAUCUUAAAGUGCAUAUGCCAAUUUGGUUCAAGUUUUAUCAUCUGGAAUGUUCCACAGUGCCUCUUGAAAAACGGUGACAGUUUCAUUGUGCCUUCCCUUGGUAGUGGUAAGUCUGAAAAAAACCUUGUUCUGAAUCUAUUAUUUAUGUUGUAUGCAGCAAUAUCUUACCUAUUUCAUUCUAGGCUCUGGAAUACACUGCAGGCCAGGUAGUCUGUACCUACCUGAACCUCCUAGGAAGGGCAGUGGGAGGUUUUGACACAUAGCAAAACAUAGCUGGCCUAAAAAUCAGUGAAAAGAAACCAUGGAAUGCUUUCACGAGGACUUCAUGGGACCAAAUAAGUUCAUUUUGAAGCCCAAAAUGCCUGGUUUAGGUCUUAAAUGCUGCUUCAAAUAUACAUGGGCAAAAGCUGUAAUCAAGGGAAAAUGCAGCACCAAUAAUAGCACAUUAUUAAAAGUCAGCAAUCCUCGAUUGUCAGUACUGUAACAACUGAGUAUCUUAUUACUUCUACCUUCUCCUCCCAUACACCGAAUUUCCUCAAUACUGACAAAGUGCAUCUACUAAUCAUAGACUCCGAAUGCUAAAUUAAGCAGGAAAAAAAAUUAUAUAAAUUAGGUUGGUAUUUCUUGAGGGCAUCAGUAGAAAACACCAAUUUCAAAUAAUUUUGAUUAGAAAAUUUUACUUCGCAAUCCUUUUCCAGAUGACAGAUAUUCAUAAUUAAAAAGAGUAUGGAAUUGAUGUCAUGUCAGCUGUUUUGCCACCAGCAUCACAGAGAAAGAAGAAACAAUAAAAUAUGAUGCAGAAUUCACUCUCCCAGUGAUUGUCAUUGAACUAUUACAUUAGUAAACAUUCACAGUAUGAAGUCUCUUUCAAUAUAUCUCCAGCAUAUAAAGUAGUGCAAAAAAGCAUUCCAGUCAUUUUGCCUUUGCAGUCAGACCAGGUUUAACUCUUACUUCAUUUCUUUCAUUAUUAGACAACAAAUGCUGCAAUGCCUCCAAAGAGAGUUAUAAAAAUAAACAAUUUCUGGAGGGUCAACAGCCUUUUCAAAGUAAAUUUCCAGUUAAAAACAAGCAUUAUAGAUUUCAAGAAAAAAAAAUUUAGAUCUAUCUUCUGUAGAAUAUCUUUUUACAAUAAAUUUACCAUUUGAAAAACAAUGACUAUGGUAUCCAAUGAUUUAUGGUAGCUGCUAUUAAAGCACUGAUAAAUAGAUAAAUGACUACCAAACUUCAUUGUUUCUUACAUAGUAAAUACCUCUGAAUGCCAACUUUUACCACAGAGCUGUUAUUAGUGAUGUCGACAGUUCAUGCACCCACUUUAAAACUGACUUGGUUUUAAUAAAUUUUUCAGCCUCAUGUGCAAAACACUUGCAUUCUAAUAAAAAUAUAAAGUCUGAAAAUUUAUCAGAUCUAGCAAUCUUUUCCUCAAGUUGUACCACUUACUUGAUAUGUAAUACAUGUUCAGCAAUGCUUUUUACUUGUAUUUAACCAUUAAAUGGCAUACUACUGUAUGCUGCAGACUCUUGUUUGCAUAUUUCAUUAUUUUCACUGCACUCUUUAAUGCAUAAAUAUAUUUGGAAACGCUCAAAACUACACAUCAGUUUCCACAGAAUUUGAAUUUACACAGUUUUUCUUCUCUGACUCACUGCUAUUCCCUGUGUCUUGACUUUUAGUCUCCUUUACACAAAGAGAUUCUUUAACUCCUUCUUCCAUCUCUAAAUACUCUGAUUUAUCCUCUGUGGAUGAAGAGGACGCGCUCCUAAAUUUCUUCAGUAAAUUUGUUGGGAGGUAAGGGCAACUGACUGCAUUUUGCAUCAUCUGCGUGUGCUCUUCAUUCUCAGUUUCUCUGUGGUAGAAAUAGUUAAAAUUGGAGACAAUCACUGGCACUGGUAAAGCAAUGGUUAACACUCCUGCAAUGGCACAAAGGGACCCGACUAUUUUCCCACCC
This is a long non-coding RNA of Taeniopygia guttata (zebra finch), 5015 nucleotides long. Lineage: Eukaryota; Metazoa; Chordata; Aves; Passeriformes; Estrildidae. The record is from Ensembl.